GAAAAAUUGUCAUUUACCAAGAUGCAAAAAUUUUAAUCUUGCCUUCUUUGCAUUCUUAUCUUGCAAACAGAUUACAAUCAGUUGUGAAAAGAAUAUUUCCACUCUGAUGAUUUUGAAGUCCCAAGGGAAACUAACACAGUGCUCAGACCAAGUACAGCCCUACCAUCACCAAUAGAUGUAGGGUAAGAGAUGCUGACUUGUCGGGAAGAUUAUGUACAAUAAAAAGGACAUCUGCAAUGAACUGUAGUGAGGCUCCUACCUACAUUGUAUAGCUUCCAUUCACUGGUAACAUUCCUCAGAGGUGCUGGAGGCAUUAGGAUAACAUCUGAAAGCAAGAGAAAAACAAACCAACUAACCGUCUAACCAUGAAAAGAGCACAGAGUCUUCUGGAAUGAGACACACCCACAAGAUAGAUGUACUUAUACACUUCUGUUAAAGAAGGCAAGCAAGCCCUUUUGGAAUUAAUAAGCAUUAGCAAUAUCUCACGGUGGGAGAAAGAAGCCCAGCUGUCAACUUUUCAGUGGGAUAUCUACAGUUCAGAGCACAUCAGUCCACAGUCAGUGCGCAUUUUCUAAAGAAAUUUCAUCUGCAUAGCCUGUUGCUGACCAUAGAAAGCUCUUCCAUGGAUAUUGCUGUCAAGGAGCUGCUCUAAUUAUCCCCCCCUGCACCGAAGCCAACUCACAACAUUGUGCUGGGUAAGUGGAUGGUGAGAUGCAAUGCAGUAUGGCAUGUGACAUAAACAGCAUGUCUUAUGCAACGUGUAACUUCACAGAAAUGUGAUUACUUGAUCUGGCCAGAUCUGAGUUUGAUUCAUAACCAAAAAGUAAUCCAGCAUCAUUCACAUCCUGUAGUAAUGAUA
This 859-nucleotide long non-coding RNA is filed under the name Anser brachyrhynchus (Pink-footed goose). RNAcentral's name for it is "lncRNA (ENSABRG00000016074.1)". The record is from RNAcentral. Lineage: Eukaryota; Metazoa; Chordata; Aves; Anseriformes; Anatidae.